AUUGAACGCUAGCGGGAUGCUUUACACAUGCAAGUCGAACGAGUGGCGGACGGGUGAGUAAUAUAUCGGCACGUGCCCAGUAGCGGGGGAUAACUACUCGAAAGCGUGGCUAAUACCGCACACUAUUGGUGCGGCCGAUAUCGGAUUAGCUAGUUGGUGUGGUAAAGGCUCACCAAGGAAACGAUCCGUAGCUGGUGUGAGAGGACGACCAGCCACACUGGGACUGAGACACGGCCCAGACUCCUACGGGAGGCAGCAGUGGGGAAUUUUGGACAAUGGGGGAAACCCUGAUCCAGCCAUCCCGCGUGUAUGAGAAGGCCUUCGGGUUGUAAAGUACUUUUGGCAGAGAAGCGGUAUCUGCAGAAUAAGCACCGGCUAACUACGUGCCGGCAGCCGCGGUAAUUC
RNAcentral lists this ribosomal RNA (405 nucleotides) under uncultured bacterium. Its description in RNAcentral is "partial 16S ribosomal RNA". It matches the Rfam family "Bacterial small subunit ribosomal RNA", at positions 30 to 526 of the family's 1533-position model. The record is from RNAcentral.